Long non-coding RNA from Nicotiana tabacum (common tobacco), 1121 nucleotides. RefSeq lists it as uncharacterized. NCBI's taxonomy places the organism in Eukaryota, Viridiplantae, Streptophyta, Magnoliopsida, Solanales, Solanaceae. The record is from RefSeq and is a predicted model, not a curated record.
GCUAAGAGAAAAAACACACUUUAGACCCCCCUCCUCCUUUCCUAAAUGAACAACGACGCCUCAUCCCUAAUCCUUUCGAAUGAUAUCUUCUCCAAACAGAUAGCCACAACUCAAUGCCCCUUCUAAUUUUCCAUCUCUAACGAGCAGCCACAUAGAGCCAAAGAAAAAAAUUAAUUACAAGAGCUUUCAUCUUCUCCAUAGGCACAAGGACGACAAAAACAAAGGGAUUUGCAGAUAGAAACGAAAAACAGAGCACACAUGAGAACACACACAUAUACGCAGAUAGAGUAGAACAAACAGACGAUAAGAGAGACCUAACCCCUAAGAGAAUAGCUGCUGCUCUUCUGCUGAAGAAUAAAAGACCAAAACAGAAAAUAAACCCCCAAAAAAGGAUGCAAAGUUAUUAUUAAUUUCUAGCUUUUGUUUCAAACCUUCUGGAUUUAAGAAAAAGAAGUUGUCUGUGUAUGAAGAAAUCAUUGUCUCUGCUGGUUCGAUGUGGCUGAGCUUGGUUCUUCGGGUUCGAGACUUUUAUUUGGUCAUUUUUCUCCCGUUUUAUCCUUUAGGUAGGGGGACAUGGCGAUUGCACCACACAUUUUGUAAAGCAGAUAAAAAGGGUGACAGGAAGAUAGAUCCAGAAGAGUGGAAGGAGUUUGCUUCAAAGAAUCCUUCUCUUCUAAAGAAUAUGACCCUUCCCUCUCUGAAGGUCUUUUGACGGCAUAGUGGUGGAUAACCUGAGAUGGACUCCACUAAUUUUCACAUUAAAAAGCCCCUUGGAAGAAAAAAAUCCGGUCAUAGAAAAUUCGGUCAUGCUUUGGCUAAGAAAAUCCGGUCAUGCUUUGGUGGAAAUAAUCAAGCAUUUCAGUGCAAUUCUUCAGGGGGAGUUCACGAUAGGAAGCGACACCUUUAGCAUUCAGAGUACUUACUCUUAAGGGUCAUACAGUCUGAUGAUUCAUAAUUUAGCGGGUGGAAGAUUUCAAUAAGAUGAAGUGUUGCAGAAAUUAUUUGAAGACUUAUUCGUUAGGAUUUGUUAUAUAAUGACAUUAGCCAUUUUCUUGAAAAAAUAUAAGUUUAUUUUUUAAGUUACUAUGAUAUUAAUAUUUUGGAUCACUACUUCCUUUUGU